Molecule: ribosomal RNA, 357 nt
Filed under: Clostridioides difficile
Lineage: Bacteria; Bacillati; Bacillota; Clostridia; Peptostreptococcales; Peptostreptococcaceae
Description: bacterial LSU rRNA
Rfam family: Bacterial large subunit ribosomal RNA
Source: RNAcentral
UUUUUGUAGAACGGGCCAACGAGUUACGUUAAGUAGCAAGGUUAAGCACUUAAGGUGCGGAGCCGUAGCGAAAGCGAGUUUUAACUGAGCGUUCAGUUACUGGACGUAGACCCGAAACCGGGCGACCUACCCAUGGGCAGGAUGAAGCGAAAGUAAAAUUUCGUGGCGGUCCGAACCCACGAGCGUUGAAAAGCUCGGGGAUGACUUGUGGGUAGCGGUGAAAUUCCAAUCGAGCCCGGAGAUAGCUGGUUCUCCCCGAAAUAGCUUUAGGGCUAGCCUCAAGGUGAGAGAUACGGAGGUAGAGCACUGAAUGUCCUAGGGGGUAUUGCACCUACCGAAGACUAUCAAACUCCGAAU